GCCAUACUCACAAAAAUAAGAUUUGUGUCCUUAAACAUUCUCCUCCAGGUUCCAACACCUCUAUUCUUCCGAAAAUUAGUAGGAGACAAUCGACCGGUCAUCCAUCAUCGGCCGCACCAGCAGUGGCGCGCUAAUCCUUUAGGGUUUCUCCAAAUCUAAAAAUCGAGAUAUAUCUUCGUCUAAUUACGAGUCACAUAACUCAGCUAUUUUUUCUGUUGCAAUCUUAACUUUUGUUAGUUUAACUGGAGCUUCAGUGUUCAAGUUUGAGCAGGUGGAGUAGAUCAAGAAAUGGAAGAUGAAGGCAGUGAAGAUCUAGACCUUACUUAAGAUUAAUUUUGAAUUGCUAUAGAUGAAUGUUCUAGGAAUCUUUUGUUAACAACAUUCUGAUACUUACUAUCUUGAAAUGUAUUAAACUUAUGCACUUGGUGUAGAAUAUUUGCUUUAUUGAUAUUAUUAGCUUGUUGGACAAUUUAUAUUAUUAAUAAUUUCAUUU
Nicotiana tabacum (common tobacco) is the source of this 493-nucleotide non-coding RNA. NCBI's taxonomy places the organism in Eukaryota, Viridiplantae, Streptophyta, Magnoliopsida, Solanales, Solanaceae. The record is from RefSeq and is a predicted model, not a curated record.